Molecule: ribosomal RNA, 470 nt
Filed under: uncultured Pseudomonadota bacterium
Lineage: Bacteria; Pseudomonadati; Pseudomonadota
Description: bacterial SSU rRNA
Rfam family: Bacterial small subunit ribosomal RNA
Source: RNAcentral
AACGAACGCUGGCGGCAUGUUUAACACAUGCAAGUCGAACGAGAAAGCUCUUCGGAGUGAGUAGAGUGGCGCACGGGUGAGUAAUGCAUGGGAACGUACCUUCAAGUCUGGGAUAACCACAGGAAACCGUGGCUAAUACCGGAGAUCUGUACGCAGUAAAGGGGCUUUAUUGACCCGCUUGAAGAUCGGCCUAUGUCCCAUUAGCUAGUUGGUAAGGUAAUGGCUUACCAAGGCUACGAUGGGUAGCGGGUCUGAGAGGACGAUCCGCCACACUGGGACUGAGACACGGCCCAGACUCCUACGGGAGGCAGCAGUGGAGAAUCUUGCACAAUGGGCGAAAGCCUGAUGCAGCAAUGCCGCGUGAGUGAAGAAGGCCUUCGGGUUGUAAAUCUCUUUCGACAGGGAAGAAGAGUGCGUAGUAACGAUACGUACUUGACGUGUACCUGUAUAAGAAGCACCGGCUAACUCCG